This 442-nucleotide ribosomal RNA is filed under the name uncultured bacterium. Its description in RNAcentral is "partial 16S ribosomal RNA". It matches the Rfam family "Bacterial small subunit ribosomal RNA", at positions 338 to 795 of the family's 1533-position model. The record is from RNAcentral.
CCUACGGGGAGCAGCAGUGGGGAAUAUUGGGCAAUGGGCGCAAGCCUGACCCAGCAAUGCCGCGUGAAGGAAGAAGGCUUUCGGGUUGUAAACUUCUUUGACAGGGGAAGAGCAGAAGACGGUACCCUGAAAACAAGCCACGGCUAACUACGUGCCAGCAGCCGCGGUAAUACGUACGUGGCAAGCGUUGUCCGGAUUUACUGGGUGUAAAGGGCGUGUAGCCGGGAAGGCAAGUCAGAUGUGAAAUCUGGAGGCUCAACCUCCAAAUUGCAUUUGAAACUGUUUUUCUUGAGUACUGGAGAGGCAGACGGAAUUCCUUGUGGAGCGGUGAAAUGCGGAGAUAUAAGGAGGAACACCAGUGGCGAAGGCGGUCUGCUGGACAGCAACUGACGGUGAGGCGCGAAAGCGUGGGGAGCAAACAGGAUUAGAUACCCCUGUAGUC